RNAcentral lists this transfer RNA (86 nucleotides) under Firmicutes bacterium CAG:240. It matches the Rfam family "tRNA". Rfam says of the family: Transfer RNA (tRNA) molecules are approximately 80 nucleotides in length. Their secondary structure includes four short double-helical elements and three loops (D, anti-codon, and T loops). The record is from Rfam by way of RNAcentral. Lineage: Bacteria; Bacillati; Bacillota.
GGAGAGUUAUCGAAGUGGUCAUAACGAGGCGGUCUUGAAAACCGUUUGGGCUAACGCCCACGUGGGUUCGAAUCCCACACUCUCCG